RNAcentral lists this ribosomal RNA (450 nucleotides) under uncultured bacterium. RNAcentral describes it as "partial 16S ribosomal RNA". It matches the Rfam family "Bacterial small subunit ribosomal RNA", at positions 338 to 795 of the family's 1533-position model. The record is from RNAcentral.
CCUACGGGAGGCAGCAGUGGGGAAUAUUGCGCAAUGGGCGAAAGCCUGACGCAGCGACGCCGCGUGGGUGAUGAAGGCCUUCGGGUUGUAAAGCCCUGUCGGGUGGAACGAACGAUCUGGCGGCGAAUAACCGCCGGGUGUGACGGUACCACCGAAGGAAGCCCCGGCUAACUACGUGCCAGCAGCCGCGGUAAGACGUAGGGGGCGAGCGUUGUUCGGAUUUACUGGGCGUAAUGCGCACGUAGGCGGCGAAUGCCCUCGGCUUAAGCGAGGGCCCGCAUCCGAUACUGUCUGGCUCGAGUCUAGGCGCGGAAAGCGGAAUUCCCAGUGUAGCGGUGAAAUGCGUAGAUAUUGGGAGGAACACCGGUGGCGAAGGCGGCUUUCCGGACUAGUACUGACGCUGAGGCGCGAAAGCUAGGGGAGCGAACGGGAUUAGAUACCCCAGUAGUC